This 465-nucleotide ribosomal RNA is filed under the name Vreelandella stevensii. Its description in RNAcentral is "partial 16S ribosomal RNA". It matches the Rfam family "Bacterial small subunit ribosomal RNA", at positions 338 to 795 of the family's 1533-position model. The record is from RNAcentral. Lineage: Bacteria; Pseudomonadati; Pseudomonadota; Gammaproteobacteria; Oceanospirillales; Halomonadaceae.
CCUACGGGUGGCUGCAGUGGGGAAUAUUGGACAAUGGGCGAAAGCCUGAUCCAGCCAUGCCGCGUGUGUGAAGAAGGCCUUCGGGUUGUAAAGCACUUUCAGUGGGGAAGAAAGCCUUGGGGCUAAUACCCUCGAGGAAGGACAUCACCCACAGAAGAAGCACCGGCUAACUCCGUGCCAGCAGCCGCGGUAAUACGGAGGGUGCGAGCGUUAAUCGGAAUUACUGGGCGGAAAGCGCGCGUAGGCGGUCUGAUAAGCCGGUUGUGAAAGCCCCGGGCUCAACCUGGGAACGGCAUCCGGAACUGUCAGGCUAGAGUGCAGGAGAGGAAGGUAGAAUUCCCGGUGUAGCGGUGAAAUGCGUAGAGAUCGGGAGGAAUACCAGUGGCGAAGGCGGUCUUCUGGACUGACACUGACGCUGAGGUGCGAAAGCGUGGGUAGCAAACAGGAUUAGAUACCCCUGUAGUC